GGGGGGAAGCCGGAUCCUGGGCUGUGUCCCGGCGUUCUGUGCUCCGGGGCCUGUGCUGUUGGAUUCGCGCUCCCGCCCCGCAGCCCCCU
RNAcentral lists this microRNA precursor (89 nucleotides) under Canis lupus familiaris (dog). RNAcentral's name for it is "mir-8799 microRNA precursor family". It matches the Rfam family "mir-8799 microRNA precursor family". The record is from Rfam by way of RNAcentral. Lineage: Eukaryota; Metazoa; Chordata; Mammalia; Carnivora; Canidae.